This 388-nucleotide ribosomal RNA is filed under the name uncultured bacterium. Its description in RNAcentral is "bacterial SSU rRNA". It matches the Rfam family "Bacterial small subunit ribosomal RNA", at positions 355 to 760 of the family's 1533-position model. The record is from RNAcentral.
UUAGGAAUUUUGCACAAUGGCCGAAAGGCUGAUGCAGCAACGCCGCGUGGGGGAAGAAGGUCUUCGGAUCGUAAACCUCUUUUCCAGGGGAAGAUAGUGACGGUACCCUGGGAAUAAGCCCCGGCUAACUACGUGCCAGCAGCCGCGGUAAUACGUAGGGGGCGAGCGUUGUCCGGAUUAAUUGGGCGUAAAGAGCGCGUAGGCGGCUCUUCAAGUCGUGCGUGAAAUACUCCGGCUCAACUGGAGUGGGUCGUGCGAUACUGAGGGGCGUGAGGUGGGAAGGAGAAAGUGGAAUUCCCGGUGGAGGGGUGGAAGGCGUAGGUAUACGGAGGAACAGCAGUGGCGAAAGCGGAGACAUGGCCGAUUACUGACGAUCAGACGCGAAAGC